RNAcentral lists this small nuclear RNA (311 nucleotides) under Erinaceus europaeus (western European hedgehog). Its description in RNAcentral is "7SK RNA". It matches the Rfam family "7SK RNA". From Rfam's summary of the family: 7SK was discovered as an abundant small nuclear RNA in the mid-70s but a possible function has only recently been suggested. Two independent studies have found that 7SK RNA binds the CDK9/cyclin T complex (known as elongation factor P-TEFb). Lineage: Eukaryota; Metazoa; Chordata; Mammalia; Eulipotyphla; Erinaceidae. The record is from Rfam by way of RNAcentral.
GGAUGUGAGGGUGAUCUGGCUGUGACAUCUGUCACCCCAUUGAUCACCAGGGUUGAUUCUGCUGAUCUGGCUGGCUAGGCGGGUGUCCCCUUCCUCCCUCACCACUCCGUGUGCAUCCCUCCUAAAGCUGCAAACUCAAAUAAAAGAGUACAGCCUUCUCCAAAUAGAGACGGCCCAGUCUUCAGUCAGGGGUAUACAAGUAGCUGCGCUCUCACUAGAACCUCCAAACAAGCUCUCAAGAAUCCCAGAACUGGGUCAGUGAAAUAGUUCACUUGCACAAAGAACUGCUUUGCCAUGUGUGAACUCGGGUU